GACGAACGCUGGCGGCGUGCCUAAUACAUGCAAGUAGAACGCUGAAGAGAGGAGCUUGCUCUUCUUGGAUGAGUUGCGAACGGGUGAGUAACGCGUAGGUAACCUGCCUUGUAGCGGGGGAUAACUAUUGGAAACGAUAGCUAAUACCGCAUAACAAUGGAUGACCCAUGUCAUUUAUUUGAAAGGGGCAAAUGCUCCACUACAAGAUGGACCUGCGUUGUAUUAGCUAGUAGGUGAGGUAACGGCUCACCUAGGCGACGAUACAUAGCCGACCUGAGAGGGUGAUCGGCCACACUGGGACUGAGACACGGCCCAGACUCCUACGGGAGGCAGCAGUAGGGAAUCUUCGGCAAUGGGGGCAACCCUGACCGAGCAACGCCGCGUGAGUGAAGAAGGUUUUCGGAUCGUAAAGCUCUGUUGUAAGUCAAGAACGAGUGUGAGAGUGGAAAGCUCACACUGUGACGGUAGCUUACCAGAAAGGGACGGCUAACUACGUG
This 497-nucleotide ribosomal RNA is filed under the name uncultured bacterium. RNAcentral's name for it is "partial 16S ribosomal RNA". It matches the Rfam family "Bacterial small subunit ribosomal RNA", at positions 28 to 507 of the family's 1533-position model. The record is from RNAcentral.